This 301-nucleotide ribosomal RNA is filed under the name uncultured bacterium. Its description in RNAcentral is "bacterial SSU rRNA". It matches the Rfam family "Bacterial small subunit ribosomal RNA", at positions 775 to 1067 of the family's 1533-position model. The record is from RNAcentral.
GGAUUAGAUACCCUGGUAGUCCACGCCGUAAACGAUGAUCACUAGACGUUAGCCUUGUUUACAGGGUUAGUGUCGUAGCUAACGCGUUAAGUGAUUCGCCUGGGGACUACGGUCGCAAGACUAAAACUCAAAGGAAUUGACGGGGGCCCGCACAAGCGGUGGAACAUGUGGUUUAAUUCGACACUACGCGAGGAACCUUACCUAGGCUUGACAUGUUUGUGACAGUCGUAGAAACACGAUCUUCUUUGCGAAAGCAAAGACACAUUCACAGGUGCUGCAUGGCUGUCGUCAGCUCGUGCCG